CAACCAAUGCUCCGGUUUUCCUGGGCACAGAGCUAUGCUAACUUCCUAACCUUCCUUGAAGUUAAAGGUGGCUAUACAACUCAGUUCUGGCCAAUGAAAUCCGUGUGGAAAUGAUUAAGUCACUUCUUGGCAUGGCUCAUAAAAUCUUCCCUUGUGAUCAAUCCUCCAUUUGCUCUACCCAUCUGGUGGAUGAACACACAGAAAAAAUUGAGGCCUUCGAAGAAGGCUGAGCCACAGUAGAAGAAUGAAUCCCCCAAUGACUAUGAAAACAAAGACCCUCACCAUGCACAACAGACUUCAAAUCACCUGUGUUAAGCCACGGAGACUUGGAGAUUUGCCUUUUAGCAGUAUUACUGUACCAUGAAGCAAGCGUGCUACAGUUUUGGUGUGAAUUAAAUAGAACUUAAAAACACGGAUUGGUAUAAGUAUACCUACAGCAGUAGAUAUAAAGUAUUCAUUAAAAUAAUUGGAACAACACUGUGAUUGCAGCAAGCAUUUGGUGAAUCACUAAAUAAACCAUACAGCCAUACCACAACGAAAUGGCUCAGCAAUAAGAAAAUAGACUAUUUAUAAACAUAACACUCGGAUGAAUCUCCAGAGAAUUAUGCUAAAUGAAAUAAGCCAAACCCCAAAGGUUACAUAUUAAAUGACUUUACUUAUAUAACAUGAUUGAAAUGACAAAGAUACAGAGUUGGAAAACAGGUAAGUAAUUUCCAGGGGUGAGGGGACCAGUGAAAAGCAGUUGAGACUGAGGUAGACAUGGUAAAAGGGGCUGUUCUGUAUUCUGACUGUGAUGGUAGCUACACAAAUCUAAACGUGGAAGACUGAAAAAUGGUCCCCAGAAAACAUCCAUGCUUCAAUCUCUGCAACCUGUGUCGCAUUAUUUGGGGAAAAAAAAAUGGUCCUUGCAGAUAUGGUUAAAUUAAAAAUUUUAAAAUAAAGAGCUUGGUCGGACGCAGUGGCUCACACCUGUAAUCCCAGCACUUUGGGAGGCCAAUGCGGGCAGAUCAUCUGACGUCAGGAGUUUGAGACCAGCCUGGCCAACAUGGUGAAACCCCUUCUCUACUAAAAGUACAAAAAAAUUAUCAGGGCAUGGUGGUGGCAGCCUGUAAUCCCAGCUACUUUGCAGGAGAAUCAUUUGAACCCAAGAAGCGGAGGUUGCAGUGAGUCGAGAACACAUCAUUGCACUCGAGCCUGGGCAACAAGAGUAAAACUCCCUCUCAAAAAGAUAAAAAUAAAUAAAUAAAAUAAAGAGCUUAUCCUAGAUUACUUGGGUGAGACCUAAAUACCAUCAUAAACCUCCUUCUAAGAGAGAGGCAAGGGGCUAGGUACACACAUAAAAGAUGAGGCUGUGUGAUCACAGAGGAAGAGAUUGGCAUGCAAUGACACCAGCCACUGGGAGCUGGAAGGCCAAAGAACAGAUUCUUCCCUAGAGCCUCCAAAGCGAGCACAGCCUGGCAAACACCUUGAAUUUGGUUUAGUGAUACUGACUUUGGACUUCUGGUAUCCAGAACAGUGAAAACCAAUUUCUAGCGUUUUAAGCCAAUGAAUUGACGGAAAUCUGUUACUAAUUACUAUAUGUGUGAUAAUAUUGCAUAGAAACACAAAUAAAUACAUAUGCAAACGAGUACAUGUAAAAUUAAGGACAUCUGAGUUAGAUUGGUGGACUAUAUUACUACCAAUUUUGUGGUUUUCAUAUUGCAUUAUAACUUUACAAGAUAGAAGUUAGGAAAUUAGAGAAAUGGGUUAAAGAGUACAUGGGAUUUCUCUGUGUUACCUUAGAUUUGCAUGUGAAUCUAUACUUAUCUCAAAAUUAAAAUUUAAUUUAAAAGAUGAUAGAGUUGUUUCAUUGUUAGAAAGAAACAAACAGUAGAAUAUCUUCAUGACUUUAGUGUUUGCAAAGAUAUCUUAAAAACAAUGCAGAAAAGCAUAUUAAUCAUAAGGAAAUAUGUUAAGGUAAAAUAUAUUAAACUAAGAAAUAUAAUUCCUUAAAAGAAACACCCAUUAAUAGAAUGAAAAAGCAAUCUAAGGGUGAAAUAAUAUAUUUGCCAUACAAUUUAUAUGACAAAUUCCUCAUAUAAAGAGUUUCUACAAAACAAUUAAAAAGCCACAGUGAAAAAAAGAAAUGGGCAAAAUGUUUAAACCGAAUGUCUUCACUAGAGUGAUAUCCCAUAUUGUUGCUAAACAUAUAAAACAAUGAUGAAAUUUAUUAAUUAUCAAGGAAAUGUGAAUGAAGACCACAAGGUGAUACCACUAUAUACUCAGCAGAAUGGCUGAAAUUUAAAAGACACAUAAUACUAUACAUUAGUCAGGUUGUGGACAAACUACAAUUUUCUUACAUUGCCCACACAUUUAAGUUGGUGUAUGCAAUAUGAAAAACUACUCAGCAAUAUCUACUAAAACUGAAUAUACAUAUACACUAUGAUUCAAUAAUUCUACUGAUGAAGCCAACAGAAAUAAGUACAUAUAUUUUUCCAAAGGCACAUACACGUAUACCUAGAGCAACAAUUUUUACAAUAAUCCUAAACUGAAAAAAAGCCAAAUGUUCAUCAUUUGAAUAGUUAAAUACUCCUGUAUUCAUACAUAUCAAUAUUAUACAGCAAUAAUCAUGAAAUAAUUACAACUAUAUGCACCAUUAUGAAUGGUGCUAAAUGAAAGAAAAAAAGAGAGUCCAUAGUGAACAAGACUAUUUAUUUGAAAUUCAAAAUCUGGUAAAUUAAUCUAUGAAAGUAGAAGUCAGGAACCUUGUAGGGGGUGAACAGCAAUUAGCAUAGCAUAAUUUUGUAUUUUGAUGCAAUUCUGUUUCUUUAUCUGGAUGAAGGGAACAUGGGUGAGUUCACUCCAUGAAAAGUCAUUGAGUCGUACUUAUGAUAUGUAUGCUUUUCUAUAUGCAUGUGAUGCUUCAAUUUUUAAAAAUGUGUUUCUUUCUGUACCUAUUCUGAAUGUUCUUUAGUUCCAGAAACUAUACUAAAGAGAUUGCAAUGCAUUUAUAGACUUGGGAAUUAUUUUUCUCUAUAUUAUUUUAUUUAUCUCUGUAUUAUUUUCUCUAUGUUAUUUAUUUAUCAAUAGUAUUUUAAUAUCCAAGAGUAUGCCAUAUCUUUUCAUUAUGUAAUAUUUAUUCCUUUAAGAACAGCUUUUCAGUAUUUAUUUAAUGUAGGUCAUACAAAAUUGGUGGUCACAUGAUUUUCCUAUUUUACAUGUAGUCCAAUCAUUGUUCUUAUAGUUAAAAAAAACUUUUUAAUAUACCAUGUCUUCUAAUUGGUUAAUAGUGAUAUAUAGGCAAUAUUUUCCAAAUUUCAGGGUGCCUUUUAUAAAAUUAAUCAAGAAUGUUCUUCAUGAAUACAUUUAGAGAGAUUCAUCCAGCUCUGCUUAUUGAAAAUUUAGCAGAGGGGAUUACUAAUAAAGGGUUAGUUUUUUUUAAAAAAAGGGUAUGUCCAUGUAAAGGAAUAAUAUGGAGUGAGUAAAAAUCAUUCAGUAUAUGAAUUCUUAAUUAUAUAUGGAAAAUAAGAAGAAAUUAUAUGUGGAAAAUAAGAAAUCAUUACUAAGUGAAACAGCAGAUUACAAAUUAAAGUUUUACAAAAAAUCAUAGGGGAAAUGUUUCAUGACAUUGGGCUUGGCAGUGAUUUCUUGGAUAUGACACCAAAAAUAUAAGCAAAAAAAGUAAAAUUGUGUACAAGUGGGGAUACAUUAAACUUAAAAGCUUUGGCACAGCAAAGGAAACAAUCAACAAAAUUAAAAGACCACUUAUGAAAUGGGAGAAAUAUUUGAAAAUCAUAUAUCUGUUAAGAGGCUCAUUACAAAAUAUAUUAGGAACUCCUACAACUCAAGAGCAAAUAACCAAAUAACCCAAUUAAAAAGUGAGCAAAAUACUAGAAUGGUAAUUUCUUCAAAAAAGACACACAUAUGUGGCUGAAAGGUAUAAGAAAAUUUGCUCAGCAUUGCUAAUAAUCAGCAAAAUGCAAAUCAAAACCAAAAUAAGAUAUCGUCUCAGGCCAGGCACGGUGGCUCACGCCUGUAAUCCCAGCACUUUGGGAGGCCAAGGCAGGUGGAUCACCUGAGGUCAGGAGUUCAAGACCAGGCUGACCAACAUGGAGAAACCCCGCCUCUACUAAAAAUAGAAAAAUUAGCCAGGCAUAGUGGCGGGUGCCUGUAGUCCCAGCUACUCGGGAGGCUGAGGCAGGAGAAUGGCUUGAACCUGCGAGGCAGAGGUCACAGUGAGCCGAGAUUGUGCCAUUGCACUCCAGCCUGGGUGACAGAGAGAGACUCCAUUUCAAAAAAAAAAAAAAUGAUGUUGUCUCACAUCUAUUAUGAUAAUUAUUACAAAAAAUAGGUGUUGGCAAAUAUGUCAAUAAGUUGGACUCUGUGUAAACUGCUGGUGGGAAUUUCAAAUGAUGUAGCUUGCUUAUGGAAAAGAAUGAGGAGGCUCCUCAAAAAUUAAUAACACAAUUACCAUAGAAUUCAGCAACUUCAUUUCUGGACCACAAAACUGAAAUCAAGAUCUCAAAGAGUAAUAGCACUCCUAUGCUCAUUGCAGCACUAUUUAUAAUAGCCAAUAUGUGAAAACAACCUGAAUGUCCACUGAUGGAUGAAUGAAUAAAGAAAAUGUAGUAUAUAUAUAUAACAGAAUAAUAGCCAUAAAGAAGAAAAGCCAUAUGCCACAACGUGGGUGAAUCUGGAGAACAUUAUGGUAAGUAAAAUAAGCCAGUCACAAAAGGACAAAUACUGCAUGAUUCCACUUAUACGAGGUAUCUGUGAUUGUCAAGCUCAGAAACAGAGAGUAAAAAGGUGGCUUCCAGGGCCUGGAAGAGGGGGAAACAGGGAGUUACUCUUCAAUAAGUACAAAAUUUCAAUUACGCAAGAUGAGUACAUUCUAGAGAUCUGCUGUACAACACUGUUCCUAUAGGUAAAAAUACUGUAUUGUGCAGUUAAAAAUUUGUGGUAAGGGUAGAAUUAUGUAGUCAUACAUUCUUAUCACAAUUUAAAUAAAAUGAUGUUAAACGAAAUAAGCAGGCAUAGAAGACAAAUAUCAGGUAAUCUCACUCAAAUGUGAAACUGAAAAUGUUGUUCUCACAGAUAUAGAGAGUAGAAGAGUGAUUACCAGAAGAAGGGGAGGGGAGGAAGGAGAGAGGGAGGGAAGUGAUUUGUCAGUGGGUACAUACAAAAUUACAGUCAGAAAUAAAUUUUGACAUUCUAUUGCAUAGUAGUAUGACUACUGUUAACAAUAGCGUAUAUUUUAAAUAGCUAGAAGAGUGGUUUUUGAAUGUUCUCAUAACAAAUAAAUGAUAAAUGUUUAAGCUGAUGGAUAUUUAAUGAUUACACAAUGUAUACAUGUAUCAAACCCUGAUUCGAUCAUUGCACAAUGUAUACAUGUAUCAAACGAUAAUUUGACAAUUACACAAUGUGUACAUGUAUUAAAACAUCAUCUUGCACUUCAUACAUAUGUACACUUAUGUGUCUAUAAUAAAUUUUUAAAGUUGAAAAAUAAUAAACAAGAUAUUGCC
This 5501-nucleotide long non-coding RNA is filed under the name Homo sapiens (human). Its description in RNAcentral is "HSALNT0085220". The record is from RNAcentral. Lineage: Eukaryota; Metazoa; Chordata; Mammalia; Primates; Hominidae.